This 468-nucleotide ribosomal RNA is filed under the name uncultured bacterium. RNAcentral's name for it is "partial 16S ribosomal RNA". It matches the Rfam family "Bacterial small subunit ribosomal RNA", at positions 28 to 507 of the family's 1533-position model. The record is from RNAcentral.
GACGAACGCUGGCGGCGUGCUUAACACAUGCAAGUCGAACGGAGAGGCCCUGCUUUUGUGGGGUGCUCGAGUGGCGAACGGGUGAGUAACACGUGAGUAACCUGCCCUUGACUUUGGGAUAACUUCAGGAAACUGGGGCUAAUACCGGAUAGGAGCUCCUGCUGCAUGGUGGGGGUUGGAAAGUUUCGGCGGUUGGGGAUGGACUCGCGGCUUAUCAGCUUGUUGGUGGGGUAGAGGCUUACCAAGGCUUUGACGGGUAGCCGGCCUGAGAGGGUGACCGGCCACAUUGGGACUGAGAUACGGCCCAGACUCCUACGGGAGGCAGCAGUGGGGAAUAUUGCACAAUGGGCGGAAGCCUGAUGCAGCAACGCCGCGUGCGGGAUGACGGCCUUCGGGUUGUAAACCGCUUUCGCCUGUGACGAAGCGUGAGUGACGGUAAUGGGUAAAGAAGCACCGGCUAACUACGUG